Molecule: long non-coding RNA, 503 nt
Filed under: Homo sapiens (human)
Lineage: Eukaryota; Metazoa; Chordata; Mammalia; Primates; Hominidae
Description: HSALNT0366143
Source: RNAcentral
CGGGGGUCUUCUGCAGCAGCCUCUGCUAGAAGGUGCCUGCUGCUCCGAACGGUCUGGGCUUACACUCAGGACAUUCUUGUAAAGCAGAAGGACAGGGAAAACCACUAAUAGCCUAACAGCAAAGCAGCCUUGAAGAGAACAAUGCACCUAUUUAUUGAGGGCAAGCAGCAAUUGAGGCUGGGUGAAUUAAAAACUUCAGAAGUGGCCUGAGACCCAACCCUGCCAGUGUGGCAUGAAGGGAAAUUUUCUCAUUGAUUCAGAAAGACAGAGAGGCAUACCAGCACAAAAGCACUAUGAUCUCUCGUUGAAUGGGAAACAUCCAUGUCUAUAUGUGAAGUCUGGAACUGUGGCAGCCAUCUGGGGACCAUGAGGACAGCUAAUUGAUGACAAGAGCAACAUGCUGAGGGUGGGCAAAGAGAAAAGGUGGGAAAAACUGAGGUCCUGGGGGAAGCAGUUGAACCAACUUCAGUGCCACCUUAAUUUGGGGCUUCCUGUAUGUGAGA